This 496-nucleotide ribosomal RNA is filed under the name uncultured bacterium. RNAcentral's name for it is "partial 16S ribosomal RNA". It matches the Rfam family "Bacterial small subunit ribosomal RNA", at positions 28 to 507 of the family's 1533-position model. The record is from RNAcentral.
GAUGAACGCUGGCGGCGUGCCUAAUACAUGCAAGUCGAGCGAACAGACGAGGAGCUUGCUCCUCUGACGUUAGCGGCGGACGGGUGAGUAACACGUGGAUAACCUACCUAUAAGACUGGGAUAACUUCGGGAACCGGAGCUAAUACCGGAUAAUAUAUUGAACCGCAUGGUUCAAUAGUGAAAGACGGUUUUGCUGUCACUUAUAGAUGGAUCCGCGCCGCAUUAGCUAGUUGGUAAGGUAACGGCUUACCAAGGCAACGAUGCGUAGCCGACCUGAGAGGGUGAUCGGCCACACUGGAACUGAGACACGGUCCAGACUCCUACGGGAGGCAGCAGUAGGGAAUCUUCCGCAAUGGGCGAAAGCCUGACGGAGCAACGCCGCGUGAGUGAUGAAGGUCUUCGGAUCGUAAAACUCUGUUAUUAGGGAAGAACAAAUGUGUAAGUAACUAUGCACGUCUUGACGGUACCUAAUCAGAAAGCCACGGCUAACUACGUG